UACGUAGGGGGCAAGCGUUGUCCGGAUUCAUUGGGCGUAAAGAGCGUGUAGGCGGCCAGGUAGGUCGGUUGUGAAAACUGGAGGCUCAACCUUCAGACGUCGACCGAAACCAUCUGGCUAGAGUCCGGGAGAGGAGAGUGGAAUUCCUGGUGUAGCGGUGAAAUGCGCAGAUAUCAGGAAGAACACCCGUGGCGAAGGCGGGUCUCUGGGCAGUAACUGACGCUGAGAAGCGAAAGCGUGGGGAGCGAACAGG
RNAcentral lists this ribosomal RNA (253 nucleotides) under uncultured bacterium. RNAcentral's name for it is "partial 16S ribosomal RNA". It matches the Rfam family "Bacterial small subunit ribosomal RNA", at positions 524 to 776 of the family's 1533-position model. The record is from RNAcentral.